This 447-nucleotide ribosomal RNA is filed under the name uncultured bacterium. RNAcentral describes it as "partial 16S ribosomal RNA". It matches the Rfam family "Bacterial small subunit ribosomal RNA", at positions 29 to 523 of the family's 1533-position model. The record is from RNAcentral.
AGCGAACGCUGGCGGCAGGCUUAACACAUGCAAGUCGAACGCCCCGCAAGGGUAGUGGCAGACGGGUGAGUAACACGUGGGAACGUACCCUUUGGUUCGGAAUAACUUGGGGAAACUCAAGCUAAUACCGGAUAAGCCCAUAUGGGGAAAGGUUUACUGCCGAAGGAUCGGCCCGCGUCUGAUUAGCUAGUUGGUGAGGUAAUGGCUCACCAAGGCGACGAUCAGUAGCUGGUCUGGGAGGAUGGUCAGCCACACUGGGACUGAGACACGGCCCAGACUCCUACGGGAGGCAGCAGUGGGGAAUAUUGGACAAUGGGGGCAACCCUGAUCCAGCCAUGCCGCGUGAGUGAUGAAGGCCUUAGGGUUGUAAAGCUCUUUUACCCGGGACGAUAAUGACUGUACCGGGAGAAUAAGCCCCGGCUAACUUCGUGCCAGCCGCCGCGGUAA